ACGCUGGCGGCAGGCCUAACACAUGCAAGUCGAGCGGAUGAAAGGAGCUUGCUCCUGGAUUCAGCGGCGGACGGGUGAGUAAUGCCUAGGAAUCUGCCUGGUAGUGGGGGACAACGUUUCGAAAGGAACGCUAAUACCGCAUACGUCCUACGGGAGAAAGCAGGGGACCUUCGGGCCUUGCGCUAUCAGAUGAGCCUAGGUCGGAUUAGCUAGUUGGUGAGGUAAUGGCUCACCAAGGCGACGAUCCGUAACUGGUCUGAGAGGAUGAUCAGUCACACUGGAACUGAGACACGGUCCAGACUCCUACGGGAGGCAGCAGUGGGGAAUAUUGGACAAUGGGCGAAAGCCUGAUCCAGCCAUGCCGCGUGUGUGAAGAAGGUCUUCGGAUUGUAAAGCACUUUAAGUUGGGAGGAAGGGCAGUAAAUUAAUACUUUGCUGUUUUGACGUUACCGACAGAAUAAGCACCGGCUAACUCUGUGCCAGCAGCCGUGGUAAUACAGAGGGUGCAAGCGUUAAUCGGAAUUACUGGGCGUAAGGCGCGCGUAGGUGGUUUGUUAAGUUGGAUGUGAAAUCCCCGGGCUCAACCUGGGAACUGCAUCCAAAACUGGCAAGCUAGAGUAUGGUAGAGGGUGGUGGAAUUUCCUGUGUAGCGGUGAAAUGCGUAGAUAUAGGAAGGAACACCAGUGGCGAAGGCGACCACCUGGACUGAUACUGACACUGAGGCGCGAAAGCGUGGGGAGCAAAC
Molecule: ribosomal RNA, 745 nt
Filed under: uncultured bacterium
Lineage: Bacteria
Description: bacterial SSU rRNA
Rfam family: Bacterial small subunit ribosomal RNA
Source: RNAcentral